Long non-coding RNA from Stegastes partitus (bicolor damselfish), 525 nucleotides. RefSeq lists it as uncharacterized. The record is from RefSeq and is a predicted model, not a curated record. The transcript is spliced from 2 exons. Lineage: Eukaryota; Metazoa; Chordata; Actinopteri; Pomacentridae.
UUGUUUUAGCACAGUUUAAUUCCUCAGAAGGUUGGUUUAAUUCAUCACAAGUAUUACAGGUACUAUUUAUUGGAGCCCUCAAUGGACUUCAACUCGCUCAGGUCAGCUCCAAGACCGUCCCCAUCACUCUAGUCCUGGCCGGAAAUCACUAAGAGACUCUCACUUUCCACCUCAUCGAUCACUCCAGUCCACCUCUCGUCCUGGGAUAUCCGUGGUUAAAUACUCACAACCUGCACUUUGACUGGGCCAAGAAUGAAACUGUUUCCUGGAGCUUGGAUUAUCAUGCUUGCUGGAGGUGUGCACAGAUGUUUGACUCACCAGUACCCCCAGUUACUGAUGAGCAAUGAAGUGACAUUGUUUACCACAAUAUAAGCAAGCAUUUGUGUUUCUACAGAAUGUCUUCUCUUGAGUGGUGCUAAACUGCGCUCAAUCAAGUUGCAUUGGCUCAGGUUCAGGACUUGAUAAAGGGGAGAAAGCAUGGACAGAACAAGAAAAAAAAACAAAAAAUAAAAUUGCCCGACAGAA